UACGUAGGGUGCAAGCGUUGUCCGGAAUUAUUGGGCGUAAAGAGCUCGUAGGCGGCCCGUCGCGUCGGCUGUGAAAACCCGGGGCUCAACCCCGGGCCUGCAGUCGAUACGGGCGGGCUCGAGUCCGGCAGGGGAGACUGGAAUUCCUGGUGUAGCGGUGAAAUGCGCAGAUAUCAGGAGGAACACCGGUGGCGAAGGCGGGUCUCUGGGCCGGAACUGACGCUAAGGAGCGAAAGCGUGGGGAGCGAACAGG
This 253-nucleotide ribosomal RNA is filed under the name uncultured bacterium. RNAcentral describes it as "partial 16S ribosomal RNA". It matches the Rfam family "Bacterial small subunit ribosomal RNA", at positions 524 to 776 of the family's 1533-position model. The record is from RNAcentral.